UACGUAGGGUGCAAGCGUUAAUCGGAAUUACUGGGCGUAAAGCGUGCGCAGGCGGUUAUGCAAGACAGAUGUGAAAUCCCCGGGCUCAACCUGGGAACUGCAUUUGUGACUGCAUAGCUAGAGUGCGGCAGAGGGAGAUGGAAUUCCGCGUGUAGCAGUGAAAUGCGUAGAUAUGCGGAGGAACACCGAUGGCGAAGGCAAUCUCCUGGGCCUGCACUGACGCUCAUGCGCGAAAGCGUGGGGAGCAAACAGG
Molecule: ribosomal RNA, 253 nt
Filed under: uncultured bacterium
Lineage: Bacteria
Description: partial 16S ribosomal RNA
Rfam family: Bacterial small subunit ribosomal RNA
Source: RNAcentral